Molecule: long non-coding RNA, 2100 nt
Organism: Aethalodelphis obliquidens (Pacific white-sided dolphin)
Lineage: Eukaryota; Metazoa; Chordata; Mammalia; Artiodactyla; Delphinidae
Exons: 5
Source: RefSeq, a predicted model, not a curated record
GGUCCCAGAUAGCAUACUCUUGGAUGUGAUUUUGGAAUUAGAUCACUUGCCAGCUGUAUAGCAAUAAAGAUCCCAUUGUAAGAGAUAAACUGUGUUAAAAACCUGCUACUCGUUCUAGCAUUAUAACUGCUAUAAUUUUCACCAGUGGUGAGUUGGGAUGGGAUACAGGUGAGAAGAGAUGCAAUGACUUGCACAAUACUAAGCAUUUGAGAAAUAUGGAGGGAUUUGUCAAUUACCAACCUGGUGUACUGUGUGAAAGAAAGUUAGAAAGCCUCCAUGGAAGCAUUUAAAGAGAUCCACUAUUUCUGUAGCUAGAAAGCAGAUGGAACUGAAGAUUGGAUGAUGAACUAUAUGGAAAAAACUCACUUCCUCCUCUGUGUCUCUUUUGUUCUCACACUACUACCAUAGUCACAACACUUCCAACACCAGAUGUGUGGGUGUUUUUCCACACCAAGAAAUUCUGACACCAGCUAGAUGUGAUACAAUUUAUCUCAGUUCUGACACUGUUUACCUGGAGAUGGCAUCAGAUCCUACAAGCUGGAAUUAUGUUUUCAACAUCAGAUGAGUCAAAGGAAAUAAUAGCCGCUGUAGAACAGCUUUGUCUCGUGUCAAGCAUGAAAAAUGACUGAGAAGAACAAGUUUCAAAAAGAAAGAAAACUUUGAAGAGUAUGAACACACGUGUGUGUGCCCCUACAACUUGCACAGCCCUGUGGACAAUUAGAGAACGAAUAAGAGUGCAUCCUGCAGAAACUUGAUCUAGUAGGGGAGAGCAACAAUAUAAAAAUAGGUUGCUUGUCUUUUUUCCUCAACAAUUUGUAAGAGCUCCUGGUAUAAUAUAGAUAUCAGUCUUGUUAAUACAUGGAAACAAAAUUUGAACUUUUAGUGAGAACCUACUGAUUUUGUUUAUAUUUUUCCACAUGUGCAUUUUUAUGUGUGUGUAUUAAAAAUCUCCCUCUGUUAAUCAUAUUAGAUUUCCAUGCAUAGAUAACAGUUUGCCAAUCCAAAGAUUAUGUAUGUUAUUUGUAUAUUUACUUCCAUUUAAAUCUUAGACCCCUCUGGACAUUAUUUUUUAAUAUGGUAUGAAAUGGGGAUCCAGUUUUUCUAAUUGUUUCCAUUUGAAGAAUUGUUUUAAAUUACUUGCUUAAUCUAUUGAGUUCAAAUAGAAGUUGAAAAUAACAUCAUUACUCAAUUUAAGGAUGUGACUCUAUUGUUAUAUAGUCAACUGAGCUUUUCUUUUUAAUUAAUAGAAUUUAGUUUUUAGUGCAGUUUAAGGUUUACUGAAAAAUUGAGCAGAAAGUAUAGAGUUCCCAUAAAAUUCCUCUUCCCCUGGCCUCAGUUUCCUCUAUUAUUAAUAUCUUGCAUUGGUGUGGUACAUUUAUUAUAACUGGUGAACCACUAUUGAUACAUUAUUAUUAACUAAUGCCAGAGUUUACAUUAGGGCUCACUCUUCAUGCUGUACAGUUCUAUGGAUUUUGCCAAAUGCAAAAUACCUUGUAUAUAACAUUAUGAUAGUACAGAAAAAUUUCCCUGCCCUAAAAAUCCCCUGCACUCCACCCACUCAUUCUCUUACCCUUCCCCCAAACUCCUGGCAACCACUGAUGUUUUUGCACUCUCUAGAGUUUGCCUUUACAGAAUGUCAUAUAGUUGAAAUCAUAUGGUAUACUGCCUUUUCAUACUGCCUUAUUUAAUUUAGCAAUACACAUUUUAGAUUCCUCCAUGUCAUUUCCUGGUUUGAGAACACAUUUCUUUUUAUUGUUGAGUAAAAUUCUAUUGUAUGGUUGUAUAAUGGUCAGUUUAUCCAUUCAGCUCUUAAAGGAUAUCUUGGUUGCUAUCAAUUUUUGGCAAUUAUGAAUAAAGCUGCUACAAUCAUUUGUGUGCAUAUUUUUGUGGUAAAAUAAUUUUCCCAAUUCAUUAGAGUAAGUAUCUAGGAGUGCGAUCACUGAAUUGUAUCCUAAGACGAUGUUUAAUUUUGUAAGAAACUGUCAGGCUAUCUUCCAAAGGGCAGUGCCAUUUUGUAUUCCUACCAGCAGUGAAAAAGUGUUCCUGCCAAUUGGAUUUUUGAAUAAAUAUCUAUUACUCAAACUAAUAUCAUCAUGCAAU